This 295-nucleotide long non-coding RNA is filed under the name Malus domestica (apple). RNAcentral's name for it is "long non-coding RNA (MDOM_LNC004238)". The record is from RNAcentral. Lineage: Eukaryota; Viridiplantae; Streptophyta; Magnoliopsida; Rosales; Rosaceae.
GAUGAACUGUCCCGAAGUCAUCUACUAAUCCAAAGUUUUAAUCAAGGAGGACAAAUAGCGAUGGGCAUGAUCCGAGUGGAGAUGACUAUUGGUGAACUCAAGUCAAGCACGAUAUUCCACGUGAUUGAUGCAAGAACUUCUUGAGGAAGACGUCAUUUUUGGCUCUUUUAACUCAAAGUCGUCGCCUCGACCGCUGGGGGCAUGUUCCAAGUCAAGCGAAGUUGAAGGAUGGACUCAUGUUGCUCCAAAGAAAUUACACAUGAAGCCUACGUUGCAUCCACAUAUUCACCAAUCG